CCGACGGCGGUGCGGGGCGCGGCGGUGUUGUUGCCCUCGCCGUCGUGGUUCUGUGCCACUCCGUCGAC
Molecule: transfer RNA, 68 nt
Filed under: Streptomyces sp. ADI93-02
Lineage: Bacteria; Bacillati; Actinomycetota; Actinomycetes; Kitasatosporales; Streptomycetaceae
Description: tRNA-Asn
Source: RNAcentral